This is a long non-coding RNA of Tyto alba (common barn owl), 285 nucleotides long. RefSeq lists it as uncharacterized. The record is from RefSeq and is a predicted model, not a curated record. NCBI's taxonomy places the organism in Eukaryota, Metazoa, Chordata, Aves, Strigiformes, Tytonidae. The transcript is spliced from 3 exons.
UGUCUAAAUGAUGGAGAAUGAAUGCAUGUCUUUCCUUCUCAAAGUCUGUGUGCAAGAGAGACUUCCUCAAGUCUUCCAUCCAUACCAAAGAUAUGAGUUCUAACACUUGAAACCCACAAGGCUGGAAGUUCAACUAAAGAAGAGCUCAUGUAAAUAUAUUGCCAUAGUUUCUGUGCAAGAUAACAUUACAAGAGGAGAUUUUCGAAAGCAUAAAAAGGUCUUCAAAAAGCUACUCAGAAUGACUACAGGAAAAAAAAGUAAGUACACCCAUGUGGAAAACAAUGU